This 158-nucleotide ribosomal RNA is filed under the name Kuepferia damyonensis. Its description in RNAcentral is "5.8S ribosomal RNA". It matches the Rfam family "5.8S ribosomal RNA". From Rfam's summary of the family: 5.8S ribosomal RNA (5.8S rRNA) is a component of the large subunit of the eukaryotic ribosome. It is transcribed by RNA polymerase I as part of the 45S precursor that also contains 18S and 28S rRNA. Functionally, it is thought that 5.8S rRNA may be involved in ribosome translocation. The record is from RNAcentral. Lineage: Eukaryota; Viridiplantae; Streptophyta; Magnoliopsida; Gentianales; Gentianaceae.
ACUCUCGGCAACGGAUAUCUCGGCUCUCGCAUCGAUGAAGAACGUAGCGAACUGCGAUACUUGGUGUGAAUUGCAGAAUCCCGUGAACCAUCGAGUCUUUGAACGCAAGUUGCGCCCGAAGCCAUUAGGCCGAUGGCACGUCUGCCUGGGCGUCACGC